UGUAAAUGUAAAAAAGUGUAAUAGGACCCCUUUACAAUGUACACCAUUUUUGUAGAGAAUGUGAUGCAUUCAGUCAAAUCUGAUUUAAAUGCUCAUUUACAAAUGAGGUCCUUACAAAUGAAUUAUUUAUAGUGUUAAAUUCAUGACGUUUGUGUUUCACAACAUUUCCAGUCUAAUGACACUAUGAUGCCUUUUUCUCAAAUUAAUUAUGGAACAAAGACGCAGAUCGUGUAUCCACUUGUCAGUCCGUCUGUUUGACAUUUUUGGGUACCACUGCAGGUCAGUCAGGCCUCGUAUUGCGGCUCUAAAACUAGUAACUAAACAGGGUAAUUCCUGUUCGGCAGAGCCUUCUGAACUGAAGUAUUUUUAUACAGAUAAUUAUGCACCAGAUUUUCAGAAAUAUGCUCUCAUAAACCUUCAACUUUAUUAUUUCCAGAUUAUUUGCACAAUGACAUGAAAAUGAUCAGAGCUGUAUUAGUGAUUGUAUAGUGAAAGAUUGAUAGUUAACUUGCACGAGGACAUCAAUUUAAAGAUCGUUUUCAUAUUUUAACCUAUAAUAUAUUCAACAUGUAUUAAACUGAGUUACACAAACCAACUAAUGUCACCAAAUUCAUCAAAUCUAAUACUGAUUACUUGUUUUUUUCAGGUGCAGACUGUGUGUUUUACAUGAUUCAUCAGCAACAAUUAAAGAUAAUUAUAAACAUUACUGAACUACGCCUCUUGUAUGUUUAGCGCCAUUAACUUGAUGGUGCUUCACAUAGUAAAGUGUGUGUAAUUAAUCUCUGGUGUGUCAUGUCCUGACUGGGAUAAAAGAUACCGCAGACGCUCUUACACCGCAGACAUUGUGACAGAGAUGUGAUACACAAAGAUCUAGUGUCUUGAUGCAGGUUGCGUUGCAGGCAGCAGUGUAGUUGGUACCUGGCGUGUCUGGCUGGGAUCCCUGUGUGUCUGGGCAUUCAGAGGAGAGGCAGAUGGACAAACACUAGUUGAAUGAAGAGAUCUCCUUCCAUCCUGUACCAUGCUGAAAGUCACCUCUAAUCUACAGAAUCUGGCAAAUCAGAGCUGUCUUGUGCAAUAGGCUGAUGUGACCGGCGAGUCCUGACAUGAUGAUCUUUAAUAGAAAGCUGCACUUCAUUAUCAAGUAGGACGUGAUGAUGGGCACAGAGCAGUGUCAUAAAACCUGUCAGAUCCUCAUCAUUUCCAUUACGAUCAUUAGACGUAAUGGAAUGAGGUCUUGGAAGGCAGUCUGAAACUUUAGGAGGUGUCUUCAUACAAAACCGUUACCAGAUAAGAUCUCGUUGUAUUACAGUCGAGAGGGCCGAGAACAGAAGGAGCGGUAGGCGAUGCUGGCAGCGGCAGAGGAACAGAUGGUUUAGGUUGCCUCUGGAUGGCUUUCAAAAAGGCUUCCCUUAGCUGAGCAGAUAUGUUUCAUUAGAAGUGGUCCUGAUGUAUUGGACAGACAUUUGCCCCUUAUAAUGCACUGCCCAUCUGGUGCUGAAGUGUUGGUCUGGGUGUUGGUUAUAUCUGCUAAAUAGAACGUAUGUGAUCUUAAACAGAAGAGAUCAGAGAAGAUAUCUAUUGUUUCUCCUUGACAGCCAUGCACGGAGAGUGUUUGCCAAGAGAGAAGAAGUCUGUGAUCUCAAUAUGAACUCAAACAUUUCUCAUCAAAUCAUCUGAGCUGCUAUGCACGUUUAUUUAUAGCGCUAUACUUUUACUGUGUUUGAACAAUUGACUCAUUUGUUUCUAUUUUUAUUGUAUAUAGAGAAGCAUCUGAGAAAAGGUUGAUGCCUAAAUGGAAUAUAUAAUGAGGACCUAUUAUGCUUUUUUACAUUUUCACCUUUCUUUAGUGUGCAAUGUUGCUGUUUGAGCAUGAAAAGGUCUGCAA
This is a long non-coding RNA of Megalobrama amblycephala (Wuchang bream), 1885 nucleotides long. RefSeq lists it as uncharacterized. The record is from RefSeq and is a predicted model, not a curated record. NCBI's taxonomy places the organism in Eukaryota, Metazoa, Chordata, Actinopteri, Cypriniformes, Xenocyprididae. The transcript has 5 exons.